Molecule: non-coding RNA, 31 nt
Filed under: Mus musculus (house mouse)
Lineage: Eukaryota; Metazoa; Chordata; Mammalia; Rodentia; Muridae
Source: RNAcentral
UGUUCCUUGAAGUGUUGCCCACAAAACUGAU